UUGACCUCAAAUCGGGUGAGACUACCCGCUGAACUUAAGCAUAUCAAUAAGCGGAGGAAAAGAAACUAACAAGGAUUCCCCUAGUAACUGCGAGUGAAGCGGGAAAAGCUCAAAUUUAAAAUCUGGCGGUCUUUGGCUGUCCGAGUUGUAAUUUAGAGAAGCGUCUUCCGCG
Molecule: ribosomal RNA, 172 nt
Filed under: Lactarius caespitosus
Lineage: Eukaryota; Fungi; Basidiomycota; Agaricomycetes; Russulales; Russulaceae
Description: partial 28S ribosomal RNA
Rfam family: Eukaryotic large subunit ribosomal RNA
Source: RNAcentral